UUGCUUUUUCUAGGCGUCGACCGGCGCACGGGUGAGUAACGCGUAUCCAACCUGCCCAUCACUUGGUAAUAACCUUGCGAAAGUAAGACUAAUACCCAAUGAUAUCUCAAGAAGACAUCUGAAUGAGAUUAAAGAUUUAUCGGUGAUGGAUGGGGAUGCGUCUGAUUAGCUUGUUGGCGGGGUAACGGCCCACCAAGGCGACGAUCAGUAGGGGUUCUGAGAGGAAGGUCCCCCACAUUGGAACUGAGACACGGUCCAAACUCCUACGGGAGGCAGCAGUGAGGAAUAUUGGUCAAUGGGCGAGAGCCUGAACCAGCCAAGUAGCGUGCAGGAUGACGGCCCUAUGGGUUGUAAACUGCUUUUAUAAGGGAAUAAAGUGAGUCUCGUGAGACUUUUUGCAUGUACCUUAUGAAUAAGGACCGGCUAAUUCCGUGCCAGCAGCCGCGGUAAUACGGAAGGUCCGGGCGUUAUCCGGAUUUAUUGGGUUUAAAGGGAGCGUAGGCCGGAGAUUAAGCGUGUUGUGAAAUGUAGAUGCUCAACAUCUGCACUGCAGCGCGAACUGGUUUCCUUGAGUACGCACAAAGUGGGCGGAAUUCGUGGUGUAGCGGUGAAAUGCUUAGAUAUCACGAAGAACUCCGAUUGCGAAGGCAGCUCACUGGAGCGCAACUGACGCUGAAGCUCGAAAGUGCGGGUAUCGAACAGGAUUAGAUACCCUGGUAGUCCGCACGGUAAACGAUGGAUGCCCGCUGUUGGUCUGAAUAGGUCAGCGGCC
RNAcentral lists this ribosomal RNA (772 nucleotides) under uncultured bacterium. RNAcentral describes it as "bacterial SSU rRNA". It matches the Rfam family "Bacterial small subunit ribosomal RNA", at positions 75 to 848 of the family's 1533-position model. The record is from RNAcentral.